This 366-nucleotide long non-coding RNA is filed under the name Elaeis guineensis (African oil palm). RNAcentral's name for it is "long non-coding RNA (EGUI_LNC005530)". The record is from RNAcentral. Lineage: Eukaryota; Viridiplantae; Streptophyta; Magnoliopsida; Arecales; Arecaceae.
GCCUGGUUUCACAUGGUCCAUAGUGGAUCGAUGCAUUUUUAGAGGUGUUUCUCAUGGUUUUUUGGAAUUUUCAUAGAUUGGGGCACCAUCCGAUGGUUCAAACGGGUUGCGCUCAAGAUCCAUUGGUUCAAGAAGCUGUUUGGGUCCUGUUUGAGCUUUGUUUGAGCUCUUUAUCGAAUGGGACUCGACUCUGAGGUCUUUAAAUAGACCUAUAGCAACAGAAAGCUGGGUGUUGGAAUUGGUGGCUUGGCAGAGACCUGUGCACGCAGAACAAAAAGGAAGUUUAGUAGCGGCGGCACACCUUGAAGCUAGGCACCGACAGAGAACAAAAAUAGAGGCUUCAGGUAGACUGUCAAACAGUGAAUA